Molecule: ribosomal RNA, 253 nt
Filed under: uncultured bacterium
Lineage: Bacteria
Description: partial 16S ribosomal RNA
Rfam family: Bacterial small subunit ribosomal RNA
Source: RNAcentral
UACGUAGGGGGCAAGCGUUGUCCGGAAUCAUUGGGCGUAAAGAGCGUGUAGGCGGCCCGGUAAGUCCGCUGUGAAAGUCCAGGGCUCAACCCUGGGAUGCCGGUGGAUACUGUCGGGCUCGAGUCCGGAAGAGGAGUGUGGAAUUCCUGGUGUAGCGGUGAAAUGCGCAGAUAUCAGGAGGAACACCGGUGGCGAAGGCGGAUCUCUGGGCCAUUACUGACGCUGAGGAGCGAAAGCGUGGGGAGCGAACAGG